Molecule: ribosomal RNA, 857 nt
Filed under: Triticum aestivum (bread wheat)
Lineage: Eukaryota; Viridiplantae; Streptophyta; Magnoliopsida; Poales; Poaceae
Description: partial small subunit ribosomal RNA
Source: RNAcentral
UCUUCUUUGUUGGGUAGGCAACGGCAGAAGGAGGACGCUUUCCUUUCGUCUAUUCUCCUUGGAGAGGGGGUAGAGGGGCGACUCGCUUCGUUGGCUCGUUUUGGGAGGGGAAGGGGGGGAUCUUGGAAGGCCCGCGUAGGUGGUCGUAGGAGGAGGGUUACCGGGGGAGGGAGGAGCGGCGGCGGCGGAGGCGGAGCGGGAAGGAGGAGGUGCCGCGGCGGCCUUCGCGGUCGGCGUCCGGCCAGCGGGGGCCAGCGGCGCGGCGUAGGAGGCACGCGCACGUGCGGCGGUAGUUCACGCUGGGAAGGUUCCACCUCGGCGUCAGGCUGGCCCACGAGCAGGCAGAGCUCUGAUAGGGUCUCUUUAGACGACCCCCUCAGGACGAUGGUUUUAGACGACAAUUUAAGCUCUCUAUAAACUACCCGCUCUAAAAUAGCCAGCCACAACUACAAUCACUUCAACUUCGACCUUUCUUCCAAGAGAAGAGACUGUAUUUGCGAAUGCUCCACCUGGACCCUUGUCUUCUCUUCGUGACGAAGACGGCCCUCAGCCUAGAGAACCGACAGCAGCGUACUCGGAUGAGAAUUUAAGAUCACACCACGUGUGUACGAGGUUUACGGAAUAGAGUCAACGCGUUCGAAAACGAUCGAACUUGAGAAAGAAAACUACUAGUACCCAACUCACUAACUACUCAAAAUCUAUGUCCACGAAGUAAACAACGGUUUUCUGGCCCCCGUGCCACUAAAUUAAAAUGAGUAUGGGUGCACGUAAAAGGGAGAUCAUUACCAUGGGACUUUGGGACUGGAAUUACGUUUUGCUAUAAACCUUACACUCUGCUCUACGCAACGACCAUGCAU